UGUAUAAUGGGUCAGCGACUUAUAUUCUGUAGCAAGGUUAACCGAAUAGGGGAGCCGAAGGGAAACCGAGUCUUAACUGGGCGUUAAGUUGCAGGGUAUAGACCCGAAACCCGGUGAUCUAGCCAUGGGCAGGUUGAAGGUUGGGUAACACUAACUGGAGGACCGAACCGACUAAUGUUGAAAAAUUAGCGGAUGACUUGUGGCUGGGGGUGAAAGGCCAAUCAAACCGGGAGAUAGCUGGUUCUCCCCGAAAGCUAUUUAGGUAGCGCCUCGUGAAUUCAUCUCCGGGGGUAGAGCACUGUUUCGGCAAGGGGGUCAUCCCGACUUACCAACCCGAUGCAAACUGCGAAUACCGGAGAAUGUUAUCACGGGAGACACACGGCGGGUGCUAACGUCCGUCGUGAAGAGGGAAACAACCCAGACCGCCAGCUAAGGUCCCAAAGUCAUGGUUAAGUGGGAAACGAUGUGGGAAGGCCCAGACAGCCAGGAUGUUGGCUUAGAAGCAGCCAUCAUUUAAAGAAAGCGUAAUAGCUCACUGGUCGAGUCGGCCUGCGCGGAAGAUGUAACGGGGCUAAACCAUGCACCGAAGCUGCGGCAGCGACGCUUAUGCGUUGUUGGGUAGGGGAGCGUUCUGUAAGCCUGUGAAGGUGUGCUGUGAGGCAUGCUGGAGGUAUCAGAAGUGCGAAUGCUGACAUAAGUAACGAUAAAGCGGGUGAAAAGCCCGCUCGCCGGAAGACCAAGGGUUCCUGUCCAACGUUAAUCGGGGCAGGGUGAGUCGACCCCUAAGGCGAGGCCGAAAGGCGUAGUCGAUGGGAAACAGGUUAAUAUUCCUGUACUUGGUGUUACUGCGAAGGGGGGACGGAGAAGGCUAUGUUGGCCGGGCGACGGUUGUCCCGGUUUAAGCGUGUAGGCUGGUUUUCCAGGCAAAUCCGGAAAAUCAAGGCUGAGGCGUGAUGACGAGGCACUACGGUGCUGAAGCAACAAAUGCCCUGCUUCCAGGAAAAGCCUCUAAGCAUCAGGUAACAUCAAAUCGUACCCCAAACCGACACAGGUGGUCAGGUAGAGAAUACCAAGGCGCUUGAGAGAACUCGGGUGAAGGAACUAGGCAAAAUGGUGCCGUAACUUCGGGAGAAGGCA
This 1137-nucleotide ribosomal RNA is filed under the name Escherichia coli. RNAcentral describes it as "partial 23S ribosomal RNA". It matches the Rfam family "Bacterial large subunit ribosomal RNA", at positions 609 to 1748 of the family's 2925-position model. Lineage: Bacteria; Pseudomonadati; Pseudomonadota; Gammaproteobacteria; Enterobacterales; Enterobacteriaceae. The record is from RNAcentral.